This 567-nucleotide ribosomal RNA is filed under the name Escherichia coli. RNAcentral describes it as "partial 23S ribosomal RNA". It matches the Rfam family "Bacterial large subunit ribosomal RNA", at positions 1178 to 1746 of the family's 2925-position model. The record is from RNAcentral. Lineage: Bacteria; Pseudomonadati; Pseudomonadota; Gammaproteobacteria; Enterobacterales; Enterobacteriaceae.
GGGCUAAACCAUGCACCGAAGCUGCGGCAGCGACGCUUAUGCGUUGUUGGGUAGGGGAGCGUUCUGUAAGCCUGUGAAGGUGUGCUGUGAGGCAUGCUGGAGGUAUCAGAAGUGCGAAUGCUGACAUAAGUAACGAUAAAGCGGGUGAAAAGCCCGCUCGCCGGAAGACCAAGGGUUCCUGUCCAACGUUAAUCGGGGCAGGGUGAGUCGACCCCUAAGGCGAGGCCGAAAGGCGUAGUCGAUGGGAAACAGGUUAAUAUUCCUGUACUUGGUGUUACUGCGAAGGGGGGACGGAGAAGGCUAUGUUGGCCGGGCGACGGUUGUCCCGGUUUAAGCGUGUAGGCUGGUUUUCCAGGCAAAUCCGGAAAAUCAAGGCUGAGGCGUGAUGACGAGGCACUACGGUGCUGAAGCAACAAAUGCCCUGCUUCCAGGAAAAGCCUCUAAGCAUCAGGUAACAUCAAAUCGUACCCCAAACCGACACAGGUGGUCAGGUAGAGAAUACCAAGGCGCUUGAGAGAACUCGGGUGAAGGAACUAGGCAAAAUGGUGCCGUAACUUCGGGAGAAGG